CCCUAUCUUCAUCCACUUUUCAGAGUAAUGUGUCAAUAUUGCAAUGGAUGUGAAAGUGCUCUUUUUCCCUCACCUCCAUCUCUCUUUUUCUUUCUUUCUUUUUUUUUUAAUUUAAAAAUUACUUCAGAGACCACAACAGCCAAAAGAUACCUAACUUUUGGGCAAUUUUCUCAGAAUCACCCUUAACGUUUUACAGGAUGGGGGUUGUGGAAAUUUGGCUGAUUGAAUGAGUCUCCUCUCCGGGGCUCCAAAAACCCGGUAGAGCUGAUUUGCGCAGCGAAAGAAGCAUUCUGGGGGAAAAGCUUCACUUCCUCAAAGAGACAGGACAGAGGCAUCUUCAGCAGAGAACAUUGUUCUGCUUUUGGGGGAAACAAUGGCUGAAGAACAACUUCACACAGGAAGAGGCUGGGAUAAUUGAAUUCCUUGCGGAAUCACCUCUGCUUCUCAUGUCGUGGGUCAACGGUAGGAGUGGUUGCUAAGUGAAUGACCUUUGUGUUUCCACUGAACAAAUCUUCAAAGAGAAAAAAAAUACCUAUUCAGGAAUGAACAGAACACUUUGAAAAUGUCACAGGGGACUUGGAACCAACCCAAAUGUCCAUCAGUGAUAGACUGGAUUAAGA
This is a long non-coding RNA of Homo sapiens (human), 620 nucleotides long. RefSeq lists it as uncharacterized. The transcript has 3 exons. NCBI's taxonomy places the organism in Eukaryota, Metazoa, Chordata, Mammalia, Primates, Hominidae. The record is from RefSeq and is a predicted model, not a curated record.